This 3095-nucleotide long non-coding RNA is filed under the name Homo sapiens (human). RNAcentral describes it as "HSALNT0409555". The record is from RNAcentral. Lineage: Eukaryota; Metazoa; Chordata; Mammalia; Primates; Hominidae.
GUUCAUUUUCUCUAGAUUUACUUGUUUGACAGUUAAUAGUUGUCACAAUGCAUCUGGUAAUCCUUUGUAUUUCUGUGGUAUCACUUGUAAUGUCUUUUUUAUUUGUUUUUAAUUUAUUUAUUAUUAUUCAUUUAUCUUUAUUUAUUUACUGUUUAUUUUGUGUUUGAGUAUUCUUGAUUGGCUUACUUGCAAUUUACUAAUUGUGUUUGUAUUUUCAAAGAAAUAGGUUUUAUUUUGAUCUUUAAAAAAAUUUUAGUUGCUAUUUGAUUUAGUUCUUCUGCCUUUAUUUCCAUUAUUUAUUUUCUUCAGCUAUUUUUGGGUUUGUCAUGUUAUUUCUUUUCCAGUUUCAUGAUCUGUGUUAUAAGACUGUUAAUUGGUAAUCAUUCUUCCUUUUCAAUGUAGGCAUUAAAUAUGUUAAACUUCCUGCUUAGCAGUUUUGCUGUAUUCCACAAGUUUUGGUACAUUGUGUUUUCCUUUUUGUUUGAGAAAAUGUUUUUAUUUUCAUCUUAAUUUUUUACAGAGUCAGUGAUCAUUUCACAUCAUGUUUUUCAAUUUUUAUUUAUUUGUGUAAUUUCCAAAAAUUAUCUUACUAUUGAUUACUAGUUUUAUUCCAUAUUUAGUUAACAAUAUAAUAAUUUCAGUUUAUUUGAAUCCCUAAAAUUUGCUUUGUGUUCUAUUCUUGAGAAUGUUGCAUAUGCUGAGAAGAAUGUGUAUUCUACAGAUGCUGGAGGAAAUGUUCUGCAAAUAUCUAUUACAUUUAUUUGCCCUAUUGUAUAAAGUAAUGAUUGUGAUUCUUUUUAAAUUUUUAUUCUAGAUUAUCUGCCUUCUAGAUAAUGAAAUUGUAAAAGUCUGUUUUGUGAUAAAAAUGUCUUGAAGCCUUCAGCUGAUCUUUAGGAUUUUACUCUAUUGUUUAAAAUGUAUAAAUUUAAGUGUACAAUGCAAUUUUAUUACAUGAUCAUAUUGUGUAGUGAUAAAGUCAUGGUUUUAGUGUAUUAAUCAUCUGAAUAAUGUACAUUGUACUCAUUAAGUAUGUCUCAUCAACCAAGCUCUUUCCAUCCUUCCACAUUUCUGACUCUCCAAUGUGUAUCAUUCUAUACUUUAUGCCCAUGCUUACAAUAUUGUGAAUAUACAGUAUUUGACUUUAUGUUUCCAAGUUUGUUUGUUUUAGAUCAUGGCCUCCAGUUUUAUACAUGUCAAUAGAGAGGACAUGACUUUAUUCUUUUCUAUAAUGAAAUUGUAUUUUAUUAUGUUUAUGUAGCAUAUUUGUUUAAUCUAAUUAUAUGGUGAUAAUCAGUUUAGGUAAUUCUAUUGUUUUACUACUGUGAAUAAUGCUGCAAUACUUAUAUGAUAUGUAUUUUAUAUAAUGAUUUUAAUAUCUUUGAUAGAUACCCAGUAGUGGGAUUGCUGGAACAAGUGGUACUUACAGUUUUAGUUCUUUGAUAAAUAACCAUUCUGUUUUUCAUAGAGCUUAUACUAAUCUAUAUUCCCACCAACAGUAUUAAGCAUUCUUUCUUAGCAUCCUCAUCAUCUGUUUUUCUUUUUAUGUAAUAGCCAUUUUGAGUGGUGUAAUAUGAUAUCUAUCUUACGGUGGUUUUAGUUUGCAUUUCUUUGAUCAUUAGUGAUGUUGAACAUUGGCUUAUAUGCAUGCUGGCCUUUGGAUGUCUUCUUUUGAUAAAUGACUAUUCAUAUUAUUAAUAGCUUUUAUUAUCCUUUCAAAACUUAAAUUUUGGUUUUCACAAACACAUGAAGGUUUCUUACACAGUUAAACUCAGGUCAUAGGGAUGAGUUGUAAAGAUUAUUUCAUCACCUGGAAAUUAAGCCCAAUACCCAAUAGUUAUCUUUUCUGCUUGUCUCCCUUUUUCUUCCCACCAUCCUCAAGUAGACCCCACUGUCUGUUAUUUCCUUCUUUGUUUUAACAAGUAUUACUUAGCCCUAACCUUUGAUGAAAACUAUUGGUUUUCUCUUCCAGCAUUAGCUUACUCAGAUUAAUACCCUCCAUCUCCAUCCAUGUGCCUGCAAAAAAAAAACAUAAUCUUGCUUUUUUAUAUGUAUAUUGGCAUAGUAUUCCAUGGUAUAUAUAUGCCAUAUUGCUUUAUUCUAUCAUUAAUGAACAUUUAUAUUAAUAUCAUGUCUUUGCUAUUGUAAAUACUGCUGCUAUGAAUAUUCAUGUGUAUGUCUCUGUGUGGUAGGAUGAUUUAUGUAUCAUCCUUUGGUACACACUUAGUCAUAAAAUUGCUUAGCCAAAUGGUAGUUCUGCUUUUAGCCUUUUGCAGAAUCACAAUACUGCUUUCCACAAUGCUUGAACUAAUUUAUGCACCCACAAACAGUGUAUAUAUGUUUCCCUUUCUCUGCAGUCUUGCCAGCAUCUGUUACUAUUUCACUUUUUAGUAAUAGCUUUUCUGACAGCUGUGAGAUUGUAUCUUAUUGUGGUUUUGAUUUGCAUUUAUCUAAUCAUCACUGAUAUUGAGCUUUUUUUAUACAUGAUUAUUGGCAGCAUGUAUGUCUUCUUUUAAAAAAAAUCUGUUCAUGUCCUUUUCCCAUUUUUAAUGGGGUUUUCUAUUGGAAUUGUGUUAAAGUUCUUUAUAGAUGUUGGGUAUUAGACUUUUUCAGAUGCAUAGUUUGCAAAAUUUUUCAGAUUUUUGUCAGAUGCACAGGUUGCAAAAUUUUCUCCCAUUCUGUAGGUUGUCUGUGUACUCUGUUGAUAGUUUCUUUUGCUGUACAAAGUAACAUUUUAAUGGUUUUAUUUGUUUUUCCUGUUGCUUGAGUUUAUUAUAUAUUCUAGAUAUCAGUGUAUUUCUUUUGUUUCUACCCUGACCUUUGUAAUUUAUAAUUUUCUACACAUUGUGAGUAGUUUCAUUUUGUUUUCCUAAAACUCUGAGUUGUCUUAUUUGACUUUUUAGAGCUUUUUACUUUUAAGUGUUGGAAUUUGUUGCUAUCAACUUUUCUAUUUUAGCGAUAUUUGAUUUUUCUUUUUAAUUUUAUAUAUUGUGUUUACUUUUUUAUUUGUCUCAACAUUUAAACAUUUUUAUUUUUACUUUUUUUGGUUCAUUGAUUUUUCAGGAGCAUGCUAUUUAAUUUUUACAUAUCUGUAAAUU